UUAAGUUCAGGCGGUGUUCCUACCUGAUCUGAGGUCAAAUUCAGAGGGGGCUUAAGGUCCCGCUAUGGUGCGCCCUACAGGGACUCGUCCACAGAUGAGACCAAUGACAUUCAGACAACGCCGCAAGGCAAAGUCCAAGACAUGCUCCACCAAAAAAGGUAGAGUAUAGAGGUUUAAAUGACGCUCAGACAGGCAUGCCU
Molecule: unclassified non-coding RNA, 200 nt
Filed under: Archaeorhizomycetes sp.
Lineage: Eukaryota; Fungi; Ascomycota; Archaeorhizomycetes
Description: partial internal transcribed spacer 2
Source: RNAcentral